AAAGACGCGGCACGUGACUUGGGACGCACGCAGGCCGGCGGGGCGGGGCGGGAAGUGCGGUUGGUGCCGGCGCUAGGCGGCUCAUCCCAUCUCUUAGUGCCGGCUGAGUCCCAUCCAGUGUCUUUUCAGAUGAAGAGGAACUGUACUCAAGGGGCUAUAUUUAAGGAACUGUACCCAAGAAGUUCAUCCGUACCUGGAUCUCAAGCCUGAUCAGGCCUGAGAUAGUUUUCCCCCAGCCUUUGAGCCACCCCAGUUGAUACUGAGUGGAGCAGAGACAAGCUAUCUCCUCUGAAACCUGUUUAAAUUGCACAUUCAUGAGCAAAGAAUACUACUUCUUUAGAAAUGACUAAUUCGAGAGCAGGAAAAGCAGAAGUUUCAGGUGCUGGGAAUAUAUAUGUGGAAAGGAUACAGUAUCUGAAUUUUAAGGAGCUUAUGGUCUGAUCUUGGAGACAGACAAUUGUAAUAAAAUAAGUACAGUAGUAUAUAGUAUGUGUUAUGAAAGAAAUGUGUACAGGAUGGAGUAGAGCCCAAGGGAAGGAGUAGGAUGGGAACCUGCUGUCAAGAAAUAUUUCCUUAUGACAUGAUGCCUGACAUGAUGCCUGAAUCCUGAAAGAGUGAGACAUAAUGAAGACUGCUGGUGGGAGAAACCUGGCUCCAGUCUGGGGCAUCUAAGGAUACACAGCUGCACAGUGAUGGAAAUAUUGUGUAAUAAAAACAGUACACUUGCUCAGAGUGAAUUAUUAUUAAUCUAUAAGGAAUGUGAGUUAAUUGAAAAAGGGUGUAUGUUCUUGCCAGUGGAUAAAACUCGGCUGUGUUUCUCAGGGAUGCUCUGCCCUACCUAUUGAAACCAUCCCCUGAGAUGCUCAGGGAAGACAAGUAAAAGCUACCAGGAAAAGGCUAAGGGAAAUUAAGUUAAGUGUAGAA
Mustela erminea (ermine) is the source of this 924-nucleotide long non-coding RNA. RefSeq lists it as uncharacterized. The transcript is spliced from 6 exons. NCBI's taxonomy places the organism in Eukaryota, Metazoa, Chordata, Mammalia, Carnivora, Mustelidae. The record is from RefSeq and is a predicted model, not a curated record.